This 253-nucleotide ribosomal RNA is filed under the name uncultured bacterium. Its description in RNAcentral is "partial 16S ribosomal RNA". It matches the Rfam family "Bacterial small subunit ribosomal RNA", at positions 524 to 776 of the family's 1533-position model. The record is from RNAcentral.
UACAGAGGGUGCGAGCGUUAAUCGGAAUUACUGGGCGUAAAGCGCGCGUAGGCGGCUUUGCAAGUCGGGUGUGAAAUCCCCAGGCUUAACCUGGGAACUGCAUUCGAGACUGCAUUGCUAGAGUAUGGGAGAGGGAAGUGGAAUUUCCGGUGUAGCGGUGAAAUGCGUAGAUAUCGUUUGGAACGCCGAUGGUGAAAACAGGUCGCUGGGGUUGUGCUGACGCUGAGACACGAAAGCCAGGGGAGCGAACGGG